GGGUCAGUAGGUUGGUCGUGCCACCGGUACGUACUGGUCUCACUGAUUCCUCCUUCCUGAAGAACCGUAAUGCCAUUAAUUUGGUGUUGCGGGGAAACAGGACUGUUACUUUGAAAAAAUUAGAGUGUUUAAAGCAAGCUAGCGCUUGAAUACAUUAGCAUGGAAUAAUGAAAUAGGACGAUCAAUCCUAUUUUGUUGGUUUCUAGGAUUGACGUA
Molecule: ribosomal RNA, 216 nt
Filed under: Glomeromycotina sp.
Lineage: Eukaryota; Fungi; Glomeromycota
Description: partial small subunit ribosomal RNA
Rfam family: Eukaryotic small subunit ribosomal RNA (bases 40-216)
Source: RNAcentral